This 1522-nucleotide ribosomal RNA is filed under the name Enterococcus faecalis. RNAcentral describes it as "partial 23S ribosomal RNA". It matches the Rfam family "Bacterial large subunit ribosomal RNA", at positions 180 to 1703 of the family's 2925-position model. The record is from RNAcentral. Lineage: Bacteria; Bacillati; Bacillota; Bacilli; Lactobacillales; Enterococcaceae.
UAGACGCAGAGAACUGAAACAUCUUAGUACCUGCAGGAAGAGAAAGAAAAUUCGAUUCCCUGAGUAGCGGCGAGCGAAACGGGAAAAGCCCAAACCAACAAGCUUGCUUGUUGGGGUUGUAGGACUCCAAUAUGGUAGUCUGUUAGUAUAGUUGAAGGAUUUGGAAAAUUCCGCUAAAGAGGGUGAAAGCCCCGUAGACGAAAUGCUAACAACACCUAGGAGGAUCCUGAGUACGGCGGAACACGAGAAAUUCCGUCGGAAUCCGCGGGGACCAUCCCGCAAGGCUAAAUACUCCCUAGUGACCGAUAGUGAACCAGUACCGUGAGGGAAAGGUGAAAAGCACCCCGGAAGGGGAGUGAAAUAGAUCCUGAAACCGUGUGCCUACAACAAGUCAAAGCUCGUUAAUGAGUGAUGGCGUGCCUUUUGUAGAAUGAACCGGCGAGUUACGAUUGCAUGCGAGGUUAAGUCGAAGAGACGGAGCCGCAGCGAAAGCGAGUCUGAAUAGGGCGAAUGAGUAUGUAGUCGUAGACCCGAAACCAUGUGAUCUACCCAUGUCCAGGUUGAAGGUGCGGUAAAACGCACUGGAGGACCGAACCCACGUACGUUGAAAAGUGCGGGGAUGAGGUGUGGGUAGCGGAGAAAUUCCAAACGAACUUGGAGAUAGCUGGUUCUCUCCGAAAUAGCUUUAGGGCUAGCCUCGGAAUUGAGAAUGAUGGAGGUAGAGCACUGUUUGGACUAGGGGCCCAUCUCGGGUUACCGAAUUCAGAUAAACUCCGAAUGCCAUUCAUUUAUAUCCGGGAGUCAGACUGCGAGUGAUAAGAUCCGUAGUCGAAAGGGAAACAGCCCAGACCACCAGCUAAGGUCCCAAAAUAUAUGUUAAGUGGAAAAGGAUGUGGGGUUGCACAGACAACUAGGAUGUUGGCUUAGAAGCAGCCACCAUUUAAAGAGUGCGUAAUAGCUCACUAGUCGAGUGACCCUGCGCCGAAAAUGUACCGGGGCUAAACAUAUUACCGAAGCUGUGGACUACACCAUUAGGUGUAGUGGUAGGAGAGCGUUCUAAGGGCGUUGAAGGUCGAUCGUGAGGACGGCUGGAGCGCUUAGAAGUGAGAAUGCCGGUAUGAGUAGCGAAAGACAGGUGAGAAUCCUGUCCACCGUAUGACUAAGGUUUCCUGGGGAAGGCUCGUCCGCCCAGGGUUAGUCGGGACCUAAGCCGAGGCCGAUAGGCGUAGGCGAUGGACAACAGGUUGAUAUUCCUGUACCAGUUGUUUUUGUUUGAGCAAUGGAGGGACGCAGUAGGCUAAGGAAUGCAUGCGAUUGGAAGUGCAUGUCCAAGCAAUGAGUCUUGAGUAGAGUUAAAUGCUUUACUCUCUAAGGACAAGUUGUGACGGGGAGCGAAAUAAUAGUAGCGAAGUUCCUGAUGUCACACUGCCAAGAAAAGCUUCUAGUGAGAAAACAACUGCCCGUACCGUAAACCGACACAGGUAGUCGAGGAGAGUAUCCUAAGGUGAGCGAGCGAACUCUC